UACGAAGGGGGCUAGCGUUGCUCGGAAUGACUGGGCGUAAAGGGCGCGUAGGCGGAUGGCUUUGUCGGGCGUGAAAUUCCAGGGCUUAACCUUGGGGCUGCGUUCGAGACGGGUUGUCUUGAGUGGGGAAGAGGGUCGUGGAAUUCCCAGUGUAGAGGUGAAAUUCGUAGAUAUUCGGAAGGACACCAGUGGCGAAGGCGACUCGCUGGACAAGUAUUGACGCUGAGGUGCGAAAGCGUGGGGAGCAAACAGG
This 253-nucleotide ribosomal RNA is filed under the name uncultured bacterium. RNAcentral's name for it is "partial 16S ribosomal RNA". It matches the Rfam family "Bacterial small subunit ribosomal RNA", at positions 524 to 776 of the family's 1533-position model. The record is from RNAcentral.